CGGCGCUGGCCGCCUGGGAGCGGGCCCGCCUGGAGCGCGAGCGGACGUACGGCGCGGACAGCCGGGCCGCCACCGGCGGCGGCGA
This 85-nucleotide transfer RNA is filed under the name Phytohabitans houttuyneae. Its description in RNAcentral is "tRNA-Ser". The record is from RNAcentral. Lineage: Bacteria; Bacillati; Actinomycetota; Actinomycetes; Micromonosporales; Micromonosporaceae.